GCGAGUGUAGCUCAGUGGUAGAGCGCUACCUUGCCAAGGUAGAUGUCGAGGGUUCGAGCCCCUUCACUCGCUCCA
Molecule: transfer RNA, 75 nt
Filed under: Opitutales bacterium
Lineage: Bacteria; Pseudomonadati; Verrucomicrobiota; Opitutia; Opitutales
Also listed under: 1 other name
Description: tRNA-Gly
Rfam family: tRNA
About the family: Transfer RNA (tRNA) molecules are approximately 80 nucleotides in length.
Source: RNAcentral